GGACCCGUGCCCGAGACAAAAGGGCUACUUUGAUAGAGUACGCGACAGGGGCUCGAACCCCCUCGGCUCCU
RNAcentral lists this transfer RNA (71 nucleotides) under Bipes canaliculatus. Its description in RNAcentral is "tRNA-Ile". The record is from RNAcentral. Lineage: Eukaryota; Metazoa; Chordata; Lepidosauria; Squamata; Bipedidae.